Molecule: unclassified non-coding RNA, 718 nt
Filed under: Hevea brasiliensis (rubber tree)
Lineage: Eukaryota; Viridiplantae; Streptophyta; Magnoliopsida; Malpighiales; Euphorbiaceae
Source: RNAcentral
UUUAAUAACAUUCCAGCAAUUUCCAUGUUUGUGUUAAAAAAAAAAAAAGUCUCCCUAUUCAUUUCACCAAUUACCAAAGUUCUUUAAGCUAAAAUGAAUUUCAAUUCCAAAGAAUAUAACAACUAAACUUUGGUUUUGAAUAAUUGAACUCCAGAAUUUUAACUAACAAAAUAUAGACAUGCUAUGACAAGUGGCGAAAUUUAAUUCCAUGGGGUACACUGCUCUUAUUUAAAUGCAAGAUGCAGUUUUUAUAGAUAGGAAUUCAACAUUUUUAGAAGGGAGAGGUCCUUGAGUAUUAUCCUUAUUUAGUAGUUUGUCCAUGUAGUUCUACAGUUCCAUUAGUAUAUCCCAAACUUUUGAUUUCAUCUACUAUUUACUCCUUCCAUCCAAAUUUUCAACUAUUUGCCAUUGGUCUAUUGUGAAAAGACUAAAUUCUCAUCCACCAUAUCUCCAAGCUAUUACUCUCUCCAUCUUACCCUUUGCUCGAAUUUUCCCUCUCCCUCAAGCCCAUCUCUCACUCAUCUCCUUUUCUCUGGCAAUCCUCCUCUUCCUCUCAAUGCUUUUCCCUUCUUUGUUUCUCAAAACCACUUCUGCUCAACUCACCCACUCACCCACAUCAAUGGAGGCAGAAUAGCCCCAACCUCUCCCUCUCGCAAACCCAUCCCACCCCUCCCUAUGUCAAACCAACCCCACCCCUCCCUCUGUGAAACCCACCCCA